Molecule: long non-coding RNA, 3405 nt
Organism: Ficedula albicollis (Collared flycatcher)
Lineage: Eukaryota; Metazoa; Chordata; Aves; Passeriformes; Muscicapidae
Source: Ensembl
CCUGCUUUCUUUCACCUGCAGCAGAGCUGCACACUCUGACUCUGGAGCAGGUGAGGCUCCAGAGAGUGAAAACCUCAGGCUGGAAAAAGCAGAUCCAUGGAUCCCUGAAGAGCUAAUCGUAAACCUAGAAUGCUCAUCAGGUGGUGUAAAGCAAGAGAAACUGUACUGAAGAGCAGCUGUAAACCUAGAGUGCUCAUCAGGUGGUAUAAAGCAAGAGAAACUGUACUGAAGAGCAGCUGAUACAAAGGUCUUGUAAUCUUCAGCACUAGUAAUUGUUCUCUGCUUUUUUGUUAUCAAGGCUGUGCACAGCGGCCUUUUGAUAUCUGCCCAGGGAGUGAGCUGUUUCUUCAGAAAUGAUGAAGCUUAGAUUGUAUCAAGACCUCUUAUGACUCAAACUAAAUAACUUCCCCUUCUCCCUCACAGAGUAAAUCAGAUUUUACAAGCUUUGGCAAUUUCAAUGCAUGCUGUGCCUGUUAGUUCUAAGUCUGGUACAGUCUCCACAUUCUUGAAUGAGAACAAAGAUAUGAAUGAACAUUUAUGGUCUCACCCAAACCUUAAACUGCAGUGUUUGGUUUGGAGAAGCCACAAUGCAAAUAUUUUUUCAGCUCUUAUCACCCCAGCUAAUCUGUAAGGAUGUGAUGCUCAUUACUUCUCUAGAUUGUUUGUGUGAAUCCUGCAGUCCCUUUUCCUGUGGCUUUGGAAUGGUGGGGGUACUUCUCCCUGAUGUCUUUGGCAAGAAGGCUGAGAGCAUGGAGAGUGCCAUGCUUCUGCAUCUGGUAGAUGUGGGGUUCUGUGAGCAGGAGCCAGCUGAAGAGAAUAUUUUUGGGAACUAUAGUUGUGGUAGGGAAGGGAGAACUUCGGUCUUGUACCUGCUCUGGGGUGUGCUGUGUGUCACUGUGGUGGGACAUUGCCAGAUGCCUCCUUCUCCAUCAUCGCAUGGCUUCAUCCAGCCUGAAGGUGAAAAACCAUCUUCUCCUGUAUUGUCGUUGGACAGCUGCUUUGUCAGCUUCUGUGGCUGGGGAAGGUCUGGGAACCUGUCUUGCAGAGCUGCCAGGUGUGUGGUACAGCCCCAGAUCAAUCCUGGUUAUCCAUCCAUGACACAGGGCUCGUGGUGAGCCAGAACUGACCGUCACAGCAGCUGGUGGUCACCAAGUUACUUGCAGUUCCCUCUGGUCUUUCUUGAUUAGUUAUGUUCAUAAGGAUGUGUAGUGUUGAAACCAGUUCAUCUGCAUACAGAGGCUUUGUAUUCAGCUGCUUCCUGCAAGAGCUCCCUCCUCACCCCAGGGCAGGGUGCAGUAUUUUAACAUUUGAGGACUGAAAAGAGAAAGAAGAAGGCUGAAAGCAUGCCACUCUCCCUCUUCCCAUGACCUUUGAAAUCAAGCUUGUUGAUAUUUUCAUUAUUUGUUUAUUUAUUGACUUAUGCUUGGCAUAACUUUCUAACUUUGAAGGUAUAAAUAUAAUAAUAUAAACUGGAUGACAACACACCUUGUUUUGUUUGCAUUUCAUUUUCCAUGUGAGUUGUAAAGCAAGUGCCUCUAGUGUUACCUAAAGGGAAGUUGACUUUAAGGUUUACCUUUUGCUCAGGUCAGUACUGCUGACAAACCUGUUAAUAAUGGCUGGAUAUCAACCAGUGCUUUCUCUGUGAUGGGGAGAAAAAGCACCAGACUAAGUUUCCCCCAGCCACCUAUGACUGCAGUGGCAUACAGCCAGGGAUGUAGCCCACUUCUGCUCUGAAUUUCCUACCAUCUGCACCCUCCUUCUCGGGUUAUCACCUCUGCUGCAGGGAGGUCCUUCCUGACCUGAAUUGUCCUGUGACCCAGUGUACAGCCACCAAACCCUGCACACCUGGAGCUGGGGCCAGUGGCUGAGCAAGGGACAGGGUAGUGUAGAGUCAGGCCUGGGGAAUUUAAAUUUAAAUCACUGCAAAAGCAAUCACACCUGGGUCCAAAGUUUUUGCCUGAAAGUAAGGAGGGAGGAGAAAUAUGAGAAGCCAUGUGUCACUACCACAGCUCUUCACUGUUACCACUGCCUCCUCUUCCUCCUCAAGGGGUUUGCAGCUCCAGCAGUACCUGCCCAAGCCUGACCCCAAGCUUCAGCAACCCCAAGCUGAUCCAAAGGACACACGUCCAGUAACAAACAUUGCACAAUUGAACCACUGGCAUUUAGGGCUGGUGAAACCUCUGACCAAGACCUAGACUCCUCUAAUUAAACUUAGCUUAUCACUCUUGUGGAAGUGCUGAAGGGCAAGGCAUUCUCAGUGCAGUUCUCAUAUUGACUUUCUGUAGAGUAACCUUUAUAUAUCUCAAUAGAUGUGGCCUUUUAGUGAUGGACAUCAUUAUUCUGCCUUCUUGGCAUGUGAGGCAGUGCAAGACAAAGAGCUGCAGAGUAAUUUAACAGAGGCUGAAAUUUGGUGGUGUGAGUCCCGGUGAGCACACAAGCAGAGACAGACUCUGAAAAUGCUGUGAUUUUAUUUUUGUAUCAAUUUCCAUAUUAAGUUAACAGACACUAGAACUUACUGUACAAAGCACUGCUAUCCAGACCUAUAUUUAGCUGCUCGGAUAUUUGUGUCUCCGUAUCACCAGAUCUCCAGAAAUGAGUGGAUAUUUUCCAUCAAGGGCUUGUUAUAUGUGACCUACUGUGAAAGGAAAAUAUCUGUUUCACUACCAUGCAUUUUUUCAUACAAGUGGUAUCUUUUUUUCUGUGUCUCUUCUAACCUACUUUAACACAUUAUUAUUCCUUUAAAAUGCUACAAACUUACUUGCUUUAAUGUAACUUGGUAAUUAACUGGUAGUUACAGCUGAAAGAAGAAAUUAACAUGCAUGUCAUUUUUAAAGAAUUACAUAGUGCAGGAAAACCUCUUAGUAUUUGGGAGGAUGGCCAAAUCUCCAUCCAGGACCUGAACAGAACACAAGCCUUCUGAAAUUUGUCUGAGGCUCCUUGUUUCCUGGGACAUUAUUUCCCCACCAAUCCCAAAAAGGCCAUGCUGUGAACCCUGCCUAAGGUUUCUUUUUCCCAAGCGUGAGGGUUUCCCUUGAGAGUCUCUCCUGCUUUUGCUUCUCCAGUGAUCUGUGUGCUGUUGGCCCGGGACCUGGCCUGCCAGCCUGACUCUGCAGGAGAAUCCUGGGUGCAUUUUGCAGUCGGUGCCGAAACCCAGUGACAAGAUUUGUCCUGUUCGGUGGGUCGUGGUGGCAGCCAGUCUAUCAUGGGAGAGCCCAUUUGCUUACUUUGCUGCUUCUUUGUUUGUUUGUUUAGGAGUUGGGUGGGUUUUUAAAUUUAUACUUAAAGCUUGAGGUUUAGUUUUUUUCAAGUAAUGAUUGUGAGACCAGCUGUCGGCAUUAAUUUGCUUUAAUAUGACUCAAUCUGAGCAGUGUUCAAGCUUCUUCUUAGAAAAUGUAGCUGAUUGCA